Long non-coding RNA from Drosophila albomicans, 1199 nucleotides. RefSeq lists it as uncharacterized. The transcript has 3 exons. NCBI's taxonomy places the organism in Eukaryota, Metazoa, Arthropoda, Insecta, Diptera, Drosophilidae. The record is from RefSeq and is a predicted model, not a curated record.
UGCUAGAAUAAUUUUAACAUUAAAAUUUUUUUAAGUACCAACAAUUAGAUAUAGCCAUGUCCGUCUGUCGGUCAGAUAAAAGAUAAAGAGGACGAUAUCGAAUGGUGACGAUGCGGGAUGUUUGAAAGUGAACUUGAACCCAAAAAAACGAAGCACAAAACCAAAAAAAAAAAAUUUUUUUUCUUUGCUUCUAAGUUGUAGUCAAUUCGCACAGAAUUUUUAAUUGCACCGAUGACACUUUUGACAGACAGAACGACCUCUGACUUUUACCUUUAAAACGUUCAUUACAUUGCAGUCUUUUACAAAUACAUACAUUUUGAUUUGGGGAUUAUGGGAGCAAAUAUAAUUAUUCAAAUUAGGAAGCUUACUAAUCUGGACUGGCAAUCGCUCACUUUAACCUGAUAACACUAGGAUUCUUAACUGGAAUGCAACUGCAAAAAACGAAUAUGUUAAAUUGUCCGCAAACACAAAAACAUCAUAAAAGCAAAGGAGAAGCUGCAGAUUGCGUCGCAAAUUGAACUUGAUAACAGCAAGUUAGCUUGAUUUUAUUAAUGAUUACACACAAAUCUACAAGCAGCUACAUUUAACAUUUGUAUUAACUUAAACAGUGACAAAUACAGCACAACAAGCACACGAGCGAAAACAAAUUUUAUAUUGCAAAACUGACCCUGAAAAUGUUAAGACGAUGUUGAAUUUAUCGAUUGUAAGCACAUCUGCAAAUUUCUGCAAAAAAUGUUUUACACAAUUUAGAGCCAGAAAAUACCUUCAAAAUCCAUUACCAAUAAUUUAAAUUUGGACAUCCACUCGCGCCCGCCGCGCCUCCUCCAUCUCCAGCCACGUCAGCAGAAUUGGCUUCAGUUUGAUCACGUUUUUGUGCGACAGCUCUAGGUUCUCCAAAUUAGAGAUUGUGGUCUGCGUCAGUGGUCUGACGCCAGGCAGCUCGGCCAGGGCCUUGCCCACAUAGUCUUGCGUGAGUUCUGCAAGAGGCGAAGUCGAAUGUCAAAUUAAUGGGCUAUCCUUGGCGAUUCAAAUGCGAACUGACGUGGAAACUAGGAAAGAUUGCGAUCCUAAGAUGAUGUGUCAAUACAUUUCUUUAUAAUGCAAAAGCAACUCAAACGGUCAACAGUUAUUUGCGAGCUCUGAUUUUGAUUCAUUCUGAAUAAAAAUUGAGCUUAAUCAGAAAGAUUGAUUUCAGAGCU